This 1379-nucleotide ribosomal RNA is filed under the name uncultured bacterium. Its description in RNAcentral is "16S ribosomal RNA". It matches the Rfam family "Bacterial small subunit ribosomal RNA". The record is from RNAcentral.
UUCGCCCUUAGAGUUUGAUCCUGGCUCAGGACGAACGCUGGCGGCGCGCCUAACACAUGCAAGUCGAACGAGCGAGAGAGAGCUUGCUUUCUCGAGCGAGUGGCGAACGGGUGAGUAACGCGUGAGGAACCUGCCUCAAAGAGGGGGACAACAGUUGGAAACGACUGCUAAUACCGCAUAAGCCCACGGCUCGGCAUCGAGCAGAGGGAAAAGGAGCAAUCCGCUUUGAGAUGGCCUCGCGUCCGAUUAGCUAGUUGGUGAGGUAACGGCCCACCAAGGCGACGAUCGGUAACCGGACUGAGAGGUUGAACGGCCACAUUGGGACUGAGACACGGCCCAGACUCCUACGGGAGGCAGCAGUGGGGAAUAUUGCACAAUGGGGGAAACCCUGAUGCAGCGACGCCGCGUGGAGGAAGAAGGUCUUCGGAUUGUAAACUCCUGUUGUUGAGGAAGAUAAUGACGGUACUCAACAAGGAAGUGACGGCUAACUACGUGCCAGCAGCCGCGGUAAAACGUAGGUCACAAGCGUUGUCCGGAAUUACUGGGUGUAAAGGGAGCGCAGGCGGGAGAACAAGUUGGAAGUGAAAUCCAUGGGCUCAACCCAUGAACUGCUUUCAAAACUGUUUUUCUUGAGUAGUGCAGAGGUAGGCGGAAUUCCCGGUGUAGCGGUGGAAUGCGUAGAUAUCGGGAGGAACACCAGUGGCGAAGGCGGCCUACUGGGCACCAACUGACGCUGAGGCUCGAAAGUGUGGGUAGCAAACAGGAUUAGAUACCCUGGUAGUCCACACCGUAAACGAUGAUUACUAGGUGUUGGAGGAUUGACCCCUUCAGUGCCGCAGUUAACACAAUAAGUAAUCCACCUGGGGAGUACGACCGCAAGGUUGAAACUCAAAGGAAUUGACGGGGGCCCGCACAAGCAGUGGAGUAUGUGGUUUAAUUCGACGCAACGCGAAGAACCUUACCAAGUCUUGACAUCCCUUGACGAUGCUGGAAACAGUAUUUCUCUUCGGAGCAAGGAGACAGGUGGUGCAUGGUUGUCGUCAGCUCGUGUCGUGAGAUGUUGGGUUAAGUCCCGCAACGAGCGCAACCCUUAUGGUCAGUUACUACGCAAGAGGACUCUGGCCAGACUGCCGUUGACAAAACGGAGGAAGGUGGGGAUGACGUCAAAUCAUCAUGCCCUUUAUGACUUGGGCUACACACGUACUACAAUGGCGUUAAACAAAGAGAAGCAAGACCGCGAGGUGGAGCAAAACUCAGAAACAACGUCCCAGUUCGGACUGCAGGCUGCAACUCGCCUGCACGAAGUCGGAAUUGCUAGUAAUCGUGGAUCAGCAUGCCACGGUGAAAACGUUCCCGGGCCUUGCACACACCGCCCGUCA